UAGGGAAUAUUGGGCAAUGGGCGCAAGCCUGACCCAGCAACGCCGCGUGAAGGAAGAAGGCCCUCGGGUUGUAAACUUCUUUUAUCAAGGACGAAGCAAGUGACGGUACUUGAUGAAUAAGCCACGGCUAACUACGUGCCAGCAGCCGCGGUAAUACGUAGGUGGCAAGCGUUAUCCGGAUUUACUGGGUGUAAAGGGCGUGUAGGCGGGACUGCAAGUCAGAUGUGAAAACCAUGGGCUCAACCCAUGGCCUGCAUUUGAAACUGUAGUUCUUGAGUGUUGGAGAGGCAGGCGGAAUUCCGUGUGUAGCGGUGAAAUGCGUAGAUAUACGGAGGAACACCAGUGGCGAAGGCGGCCUGCUGGACAAUAACUGACGCUGAGGCGCGAAGGCGUGGGGAGCAAACAGGAUUAGAUACCC
RNAcentral lists this ribosomal RNA (418 nucleotides) under uncultured bacterium. RNAcentral describes it as "bacterial SSU rRNA". It matches the Rfam family "Bacterial small subunit ribosomal RNA", at positions 355 to 787 of the family's 1533-position model. The record is from RNAcentral.